This 396-nucleotide ribosomal RNA is filed under the name uncultured bacterium. Its description in RNAcentral is "partial 16S ribosomal RNA". It matches the Rfam family "Bacterial small subunit ribosomal RNA", at positions 523 to 918 of the family's 1533-position model. The record is from RNAcentral.
AUACGUAGGGGGCGAGCGUUGUCCGGAAUGAUUGGGCGUAAAGGGCGCGUAGGCGGCGCGGUAAGUCUGGAGUGAAAGUCCUGCUUUCAAGGUGGGAAUUGCUUUGGAUACUGCCGCGCUUGAGUGCAGGAGAGGUUAUCGGAAUUCCCGGUGUAGCGGUGAAAUGCGUAGAGAUCGGGAGGAACACCAGUGGCGAAAGCGGGUCACUGGACGGCAACUGGUGCUGAGCCGCGCAAGUGUAGGGAGCAACCAGGAUUAGAUACGCAGGUAGUCCACUGUGUAAACGAGGAUUACUAGGUGUGGGGGGACUGCCCCUUUCCGUGCCGCAGUUAAAACAAUAAGUAAUCCCCCUGGGGACGACGGCCGCAACGUGGAAACUCAAAGGGAUUGCCGGGG